This 519-nucleotide ribosomal RNA is filed under the name uncultured eukaryote. Its description in RNAcentral is "SSU rRNA". It matches the Rfam family "Eukaryotic small subunit ribosomal RNA", at positions 1161 to 1704 of the family's 1831-position model. The record is from RNAcentral.
AGGGCACCACCAGGAGUGGAGCCUGCGGCUUAAUUUGACUCAACACGGGAAAACUCACCCGGCCCGGACACCGUAAGGAUUGACAGACUGAGAGCUCUUUCUUAAUUCGGUGGGUGGUGGUGCAUGGCCGUUCUUAGUUGGUGGAGCGAUUUGUCUGGUUAAUUCCGAUAACGAACGAGACUCUGACCUAUUAAAUAGACGGUAUAUCGAAAAGUAUAUCGCACUUCUUAGAGGGACAAGCGGCGUCUAGCCGCAUGAAAUAGAGCAAUAACAGGUCUGUGAUGCCCUUAGAUGUCCGGGGCUGCACGCGCGCUACACUGAAAGAAUCAGAGUGCGCUUUGCCUAGUUCGGAAGAACUGGGUAACCCAAGUAAAUUCUUUCGUGCUUGGGAUAGGGAAUUGCAAUUAUUUCCCUUAAACGAGGAAUUCCCAGUAAAUGCGGGUCAUAAGCUCGCGUUGAUUACGUCCCUGCCCUUUGUACACACCGCCCGUCGCUACUACCGAUUGGAUGACUUAGUGA